Molecule: long non-coding RNA, 324 nt
Organism: Megachile rotundata (alfalfa leafcutting bee)
Lineage: Eukaryota; Metazoa; Arthropoda; Insecta; Hymenoptera; Megachilidae
Source: RefSeq, a predicted model, not a curated record
AUCGAUUGGUCGCCAGUCGAAAAGUGCGCUGAGUUUGAUUCUCGUUCGAAUGCGAUCGUACGCCAUGUUUGAAAGGGACGAAAAGGAGGUGGUGGCUGUCCCUCCGAACCGGUCCACUGUACAGACGACAAUCUUUCGACGUGAUCGGAGUCCAAAACGCAUAACGAAGAAAGAGCUAACCAGAAGGUUGGAGUUUUGAGGCAUUCGGAUGGAUCACGAUUCUUCUCAUCUAAUCUGUUCGCCUCGGCAAUGUCAGGUGACACAAUCGGUGACAGGGAGGCAGCAAACCACCACAGCAAAUCAUGAAGACAGAUUGGUUGAGUG